GACGAACGCUGGCGGCGUGCUUAACACAUGCAAGUCGAACGGAAAGGCCCUGCUUGCAGGGUACUCGAGUGGCGAACGGGUGAGUAACACGUGGGUGAUCUGCCCUGCACUUCGGGAUAAGCCUGGGAAACUGGGUCUAAUACCGGAUAGGAGCCAUUUUUAGUGUAAUGGUUGGAAAGUUUUUUCGGUGUAGGAUGAGCUCGCGGCCUAUCAGCUUGUUGGUGGGGUAAUGGCCUACCAAGGCGGCGACGGGUAGCCGGCCUGAGAGGGUGGACGGCCACAUUGGGACUGAGAUACGGCCCAGACUCCUACGGGAGGCAGCAGUGGGGAAUAUUGCACAAUGGGCGCAAGCCUGAUGCAGCGACGCCGCGUGGGGGAUGACGGCCUUCGGGUUGUAAACUCCUUUCGCUAGGGACGAAGCUUUUUGUGACGGUACCUAGAGAAGAAGCACCGGCUAACUACGUG
This 465-nucleotide ribosomal RNA is filed under the name uncultured bacterium. RNAcentral's name for it is "partial 16S ribosomal RNA". It matches the Rfam family "Bacterial small subunit ribosomal RNA", at positions 28 to 507 of the family's 1533-position model. The record is from RNAcentral.